UGCCUUACACAUGCAAGUCGAACGGCAGCACGGGAGCAAUCCUGGUGGCGAGUGGCGAACGGGUGAGUAAUAUAUCGGAACGUGCCCAGUCGUGGGGGAUAACGCAGCGAAAGCUGUGCUAAUACCGCAUACGAUCUAUGGAUGAAAGCGGGGGAUCGCAAGACCUCGCGCGAUUGGAGCGGCCGAUAUCAGAUUAGCUAGUUGGUGGGGUAAAAGCUCACCAAGGCGACGAUCUGUAGCUGGUCUGAGAGGACGACCAGCCACACUGGAACUGAGACACGGUCCAUANUCNUACGGGAGGCAGCAGUGGGGAAUUUUGGACAAUGGGCGCAAGCCUGAUCCAGCAAUGCCGCGUGCAGGAUGAAGGCCUUCGGGUUGUAAACUGCUUUUGUACGGAGCGAAACGGCUCACUUUAAUACAGGGAGCUAAUGACGGUACCGUUAAGAAUAAGCACCGGCUAACUACGUGCCAGCAGCCGCGGUAAUACGUAGGGUGCAAGCGUUAAUCGGAAUUACUGGGCGUAAAGCGUGCGCAGGCGGUUAUAUAAGACAGAUGGUGAAAUCCCCGGGCUCAACCUGGGACCUGCAUUUGUGACUGUUC
RNAcentral lists this ribosomal RNA (600 nucleotides) under uncultured beta proteobacterium. RNAcentral's name for it is "bacterial SSU rRNA". It matches the Rfam family "Bacterial small subunit ribosomal RNA", at positions 45 to 638 of the family's 1533-position model. Lineage: Bacteria; Pseudomonadati; Pseudomonadota; Betaproteobacteria. The record is from RNAcentral.